CGAAAUAUAGCAUAUAUAAUGCAUUUCACUUACAUUGAAAAGAAAAUGAUACCAUUUGUUUCGA
This 64-nucleotide transfer RNA is filed under the name Glycera cf. oxycephala FS21. Its description in RNAcentral is "tRNA-Val". Lineage: Eukaryota; Metazoa; Annelida; Polychaeta; Phyllodocida; Glyceridae. The record is from RNAcentral.